AUCCCAAUGAGGAAGAAAGCCCAUGAUAGGAAGUGCCGUAUGACACUCCAAACAGCAGCGGCGUCGCCCAUAACCCAACCUUCCCAUCCACCAUUGCGUCCCUCUGACUCAGUGUCUGAGGUGCUCGUUCAUUGGUCGGGAUAACGCGGUUAUGGGGCGCCGUUGUGUGUGAUUUGAAACGGGACUCUGAGGGUU
This is a small nucleolar RNA of Vitis vinifera (wine grape), 195 nucleotides long. It matches the Rfam family "Small nucleolar RNA Z112". Rfam says of the family: Z112 is a member of the C/D class of snoRNA which contain the C (UGAUGA) and D (CUGA) box motifs. Most of the members of the box C/D family function in directing site-specific 2'-O-methylation of substrate RNAs. NCBI's taxonomy places the organism in Eukaryota, Viridiplantae, Streptophyta, Magnoliopsida, Vitales, Vitaceae. The record is from Rfam.